GCCGAGGUAGCUCAUUCGGUAGAGCAGGUGAUUCGUAAUCACCAGGUAGCGGGUUCAAUUCCCGCCCUCGGCUCCA
Molecule: transfer RNA, 76 nt
Filed under: Deltaproteobacteria bacterium
Lineage: Bacteria; Pseudomonadati; Myxococcota; Myxococcia
Description: tRNA-Thr
Rfam family: tRNA
About the family: Transfer RNA (tRNA) molecules are approximately 80 nucleotides in length. Their secondary structure includes four short double-helical elements and three loops (D, anti-codon, and T loops).
Source: RNAcentral